GGAGCUGUGCCUGAAAAAGGGUUACUGUGAUAGAGUAAAUAAUGAGGGCGAAAACCCCUCCAACUCCU
This 68-nucleotide transfer RNA is filed under the name Raddaella batesii. RNAcentral describes it as "tRNA-Ile". Lineage: Eukaryota; Metazoa; Chordata; Actinopteri; Cyprinodontiformes; Nothobranchiidae. The record is from RNAcentral.